CUCGCUGUUCCUUUUUCCUAUGCAUAUACUUCUUUGAAACAUAACUUUAAAGAGGCAUAAGGCAUGGGAAAAUGGGGCUGCAGAGGUAUUCCACCCGGCCGAGCUCAACCAGCAGCAUUCACUUCUGCAGGCACU
This 135-nucleotide microRNA precursor is filed under the name Poecilia formosa (Amazon molly). RNAcentral's name for it is "Danio rerio miR-202 stem-loop (ENSPFOG00000021035.1)". The stretch from base 5 to 80 matches the Rfam family "mir-202 microRNA precursor family". The record is from RNAcentral. Lineage: Eukaryota; Metazoa; Chordata; Actinopteri; Cyprinodontiformes; Poeciliidae.